AUACGUAGGGGACGAGCGUUGUCCGGAAUUACUGGGCGUAAAGGGCGCGCAGGCGGUAUAUCAAGUCAGCUGUCAAAGACUGGGGCUCAACCUUGGUAUGCGGUUGAAACUGAUAUGCUGGAGUGCUGUAGAGGCAAGUGGAAUUCCCAGUGUAGCGGUGAAAUGCGUAGAUAUUGGGAAGAACAGCGGUGGCGAAGGCGACGUGGGGCGCAGCAAGCGGCGCAAGCUGCAGAAAGGAGGAGGGACGAGCGAGAUUAGAGUCAUCGGUAGUUCUAGCAGGAUGCGAUGAAUGCUAGUGGUGUGUGUAGAGAUACAGUUGUGCCGGAGUUAUCGCUUUACGCAGUCCGCCUGGGGAGUACGGUCGCAAGAUUGAAACUCAAAUGAAUUGGCGGGG
RNAcentral lists this ribosomal RNA (394 nucleotides) under uncultured bacterium. Its description in RNAcentral is "partial 16S ribosomal RNA". It matches the Rfam family "Bacterial small subunit ribosomal RNA", at positions 523 to 918 of the family's 1533-position model. The record is from RNAcentral.